CUGUGCUCUGCCCACUGGGCAUCGUGUGGAUGGUCGGUGACCAGCCCCCUCAGGUGCUCAGCCAGGCCUCAAGCCUCGCUGUGUACCUCAGAGCAGCUCAGUACCCUGAUGUCACAGCAAAGAAACUUAGACAUGACACAAACUGUGGCUUCCCAAGGCAGCAAAGAAUGGCCACGGGUCAUGAGGGCCGUGCCCCGCUUUUGGACAGACCUACUCUAAAGUCACGCUACCUGCGUGCAAAUCAUAAAAUCAACACUUUUGAGGAGAUCACAGCUAUGCCUUAGUAACACAGCCCAGUCUGACCAGAUAAGACAGUGCCUCGUGACCCGAAAACAAGCCCCCGGCCCCCCACCGUGUGUGAGCCUUACCUUGGACUGCACGCUGAGGGAGCGGAUGGAAGGGACAGCAAGGAGGCCAAAGCGCUCAUAGAGGUACUCAUUGGAGGAGCUUCCCUUCAGGAGGGCGAAAGGAAUGAGGUAGAGCUCCCCCUCCAGAACCAGGAUGAGCUGCCGGUGCCGGCCCACGGGGCCGCUGGAGUGCAUCAGGCCCUAUGGAGCAAGCACGGAGAGGCUGACAUGGGUGGCCCAGCAGGCAGGGGUUUCAGGCACCAGGACAACCCUGAGCCCUAGCCUGGAUGACACAAGCACGAGCAGAACAAGGCUAAAGGUGCGGGCAUCUUAAUGAGAGCAGCAGGCAACAAUCCUGGAAGCUGGGUCCACACAGACUGAGGUGAACAAAGAGGUGGCGUGGAAGCUGCUGCUGCAGCCCAGAGCCUGCCAAGAAGGUCCCAGGUCCACAGGGCCUGUGCAACACUGGGUGCCAGGGGUGGGGCUGGCCUGCCCCCCAACCCCAUCUGCUGAGGAGUGGCUGACAAGCGGACACCCACCAGGGUGCCACUCGCUUGUGCCUGGGGAAGCAAAUGUGCUCGCUUGACCCGUCUGAUGUGCUGCCAUGGGCACUUGACUGAGAGUGGCAGGGCACUAGGCUAACCCAAAGUGACACAUGCCUGGCGGGAUGUUCAGUCUCUG
RNAcentral lists this long non-coding RNA (1028 nucleotides) under Pan troglodytes (chimpanzee). Its description in RNAcentral is "long non-coding RNA NONPTRT009576". The stretch from base 921 to 1028 matches the Rfam family "TTC28 antisense RNA 1 conserved region 4". The record is from RNAcentral. Lineage: Eukaryota; Metazoa; Chordata; Mammalia; Primates; Hominidae.